This 45-nucleotide non-coding RNA is filed under the name Schistosoma margrebowiei. Lineage: Eukaryota; Metazoa; Platyhelminthes; Trematoda; Strigeidida; Schistosomatidae. The record is from RNAcentral.
ACCCAAUUGGCGAAUCCCAAAUAAGACGAAACGCGCGUCCCGGAU